Molecule: long non-coding RNA, 846 nt
Organism: Ochotona curzoniae (black-lipped pika)
Lineage: Eukaryota; Metazoa; Chordata; Mammalia; Lagomorpha; Ochotonidae
Exons: 3
Source: RefSeq, a predicted model, not a curated record
GACUCUGGUGCUCUAUGAUAACCUGCUUUCUGGAGUCUCCAUGUUUUCCCUCAGAAAAGAAGUCAUGACACAGCAGGGAGCCUGUAUUUCUCAGCCUUCCAGAGGCAGGAAAGGUCAAGGGGCAAAGCCAUCAGUUCACUGUGGCCCAAGCCUGGCUGCUGCCACACACGAGCACACAGAUUUAUAGAAGACUUUGUGUGGAGAGCCAAGCAUGCUAAGAACAUCUUGGCAGGAAUCGCCAAAAUAUACUGAACGUUCAAACACCCGCAUCUUGGCAUCUGCUAACAGGCCGGGGCCACAACCUGCGGAGAAGAAGGGAUGGACUGUCAGGACUGGGGACCCCGGAGCCCCAGGCACUGGGACUGCAGAGGAUACUUGGCUUGUAACCUGCCCAGGGUGUGAACUGGCUUGGAAACAAGAAUGGAAAAUGGAGCCAGGACUUGAACCCAGGGACUCUGACACAAGCAUCCCAGACAGUGGCUGACCUGGCUCACCAAGCCCGUCCCUCAAGAACUAUCUGUGAAGGGUAGUUGUGUUAUUAGGUUAGUGGUCCCCUAAUCUAUGAUGUUACACUGAAGCUUAUCCUGUGCCCUUUCACACUGGUGACAGGAGGUUCUCAUGGCAUCCCUCGAUUUUCCCCUGUGCUAUUUCACUCUGCAGCUUCUUGUGACAGGCUGCUGAGAAUGGGGAAGUACUCGAUUCUUUUUUCAGAAAGGCUACCCAACCUAACCAAAACAAUGGCUCUACUACACUACUGCCUGGAGUCCAACAGUCAGCCUUGUGACUCUGAGGCAUGAGCUUGGCAUCACAUGACCUUCCUGGGAUGCCAGGGCCCAUGUAACUAUA